RNAcentral lists this ribosomal RNA (38 nucleotides) under Escherichia coli. RNAcentral describes it as "partial 23S ribosomal RNA". Lineage: Bacteria; Pseudomonadati; Pseudomonadota; Gammaproteobacteria; Enterobacterales; Enterobacteriaceae. The record is from RNAcentral.
GUUGUUGGGUAGGGGAGCGUUCUGUAAGCCUGUGAAGG